CAUCGGGUCCCGUGCGAUAUCACAGCGUGAACCUUGUCAGGUCCGGAAGGAAGCAGCAAUAAGCGCCAGCUGAUAUGUGCCGCGGGAGUGCCCGGUGCGU
This 100-nucleotide signal recognition particle RNA is filed under the name Clostridia bacterium. RNAcentral's name for it is "signal recognition particle sRNA small type". It matches the Rfam family "Bacterial small signal recognition particle RNA". Rfam says of the family: The signal recognition particle (SRP) is a universally conserved ribonucleoprotein involved in the co-translational targeting of proteins to membranes. Archaeal SRP consists of a 7S RNA and homologues of the eukaryotic SRP19 and SRP54 proteins. In most bacteria, the SRP consists of a 4.5S RNA and the Ffh protein (a homologue of the eukaryotic SRP54 protein). Lineage: Bacteria; Bacillati; Bacillota; Clostridia. The record is from RNAcentral.